Molecule: ribosomal RNA, 593 nt
Filed under: Ijuhya sp.
Lineage: Eukaryota; Fungi; Ascomycota; Sordariomycetes; Hypocreales; Bionectriaceae
Description: partial large subunit ribosomal RNA
Rfam family: Eukaryotic large subunit ribosomal RNA
Source: RNAcentral
GCAUAUCCAAUAAGCGGAGGAAAAGAAACCAACAGGGAUUGCCUCAGUAACGGCGAGUGAAGCGGCAACAGCUCAAAUUUGAAAUCUGGCCUUGGCCCGAGUUGUAAUUUGUAGAGGAUGUUUCUGGCGCGGCGCCUUCCGAGUUCCCUGGAACGGGACGCCAUAGAGGGUGAGAGCCCCGUACGGUCGCGCGCUAAGCCUCUGUGAAACUCCUUCAACGAGUCGAGUAGUUUGGGAAUGCUGCUCUAAAUGGGAGGUGUACGUCUUCUAAAGCUAAAUACCGGCCAGAGACCGAUAGCGCACAAGUAGAGUGAUCGAAAGAUGAAAAGCACUUUGAAAAGAGGGUUAAACAGUACGUGAAAUUGUUGAAAGGGAAGCGGUUACGACCAGACUUGGGCCCGGUUAAUCAUCCAGCGUUCUCGCUGGUGCACUUGGCCGGCCCAGGCCAGCAUCAGUUUGCCCCGGGGGAUAAAGGCUUCGGGAAUGUGGCUCCCUAGGGAGUGUUAUAGACCGUUGCGUAAUACCCUGAGGUGGACUGAGGUACGCGCUCCGCAAGGAUGCUGGCGUAAUGGUCGUCACCGACCCGUCUUGAA